CAGAGGUGGCAAGCGUUGUUCGGAAUUACUGGGCGUAAAGGGCGCGUAGGCGGCCUUCUAAGUCAGACGUGAAAUCCCCAGGCUUAACUUGGGAACUGCGUCUGAUACUGGAGGGCUCGAGUGCGGGAGAGGGAUGUGGAAUUCCAGGUGUAGCGGUGAAAUGCGUAGAUAUCUGGAGGAACACCGGUGGCGAAGGCGGCAUCCUGGACCGACACUGACGCUGAGGCGCGAAGGCUAGGGGAGCAAACGGGAUUAGAUACCCCGGUAGUCCUAGCCCUAAACGAUGAGUGCUUGGUGUGGCGGGUAUCGAUCCCUGCCGUGCCGAAGCUAACGCAUUAAGCACUCCGCCUGGGGAGUACGGUCGCAAGGCUG
This 372-nucleotide ribosomal RNA is filed under the name uncultured organism. RNAcentral describes it as "bacterial SSU rRNA". It matches the Rfam family "Bacterial small subunit ribosomal RNA", at positions 526 to 896 of the family's 1533-position model. The record is from RNAcentral.